UGCGCGCCAUGGCGAAGAUGGCCGCGGGCCGGCCCGAAACCAGUUCGAACUCCAGUUCGGAGAUCGGCAGUUCGAGCGCGCCGGCGCGCAGC
This 92-nucleotide transfer RNA is filed under the name Bordetella bronchiseptica. RNAcentral's name for it is "tRNA-Ser(cga)". RNAcentral also lists the same sequence under 36 other names. Lineage: Bacteria; Pseudomonadati; Pseudomonadota; Betaproteobacteria; Burkholderiales; Alcaligenaceae. The record is from RNAcentral.